Molecule: ribosomal RNA, 429 nt
Filed under: Bacteroidota bacterium
Lineage: Bacteria; Pseudomonadati; Bacteroidota
Description: Bacteroidetes bacterium partial 16S ribosomal RNA
Rfam family: Bacterial small subunit ribosomal RNA
Source: RNAcentral
UAGGGAAUCUUCCGCAAUGGACGCAAGUCUGACGGAGCAACGCCGCGUGAGUGAAGAAGGAUUUCGGUUCGUAAAACUCUGUUGUUAGAGAAGAACAGCGCAUAGAGUAACUGUUAUGCGUGUGACGGUAUCUAACCAGAAAGCCACGGCUAACUACGUGCCAGCAGCCGCGGUAAUGCGUAGGUGGCAAGCGUUGUCCGGAUUUAUUGGGCGUAAAGCGAGCGCAGGCGGUCAAUUAAGUCUGAUGUGAAAGCCCCCGGCUCAACCGGGGAGGGUCAUUGGAAACUGGUUGACUUGAGUGCAGAAGAGGAGAGUGGAAUUCCAUGUGUAGCGGUGAAAUGCGUAGAUAUAUGGAGGAACACCAGUGGCGAAGGCGACUCUCUGGUCUGUAACUGACGCUGAGGUUCGAAAGCGUGGGUAGCAAACAGG